This 508-nucleotide ribosomal RNA is filed under the name uncultured bacterium. RNAcentral describes it as "bacterial SSU rRNA". It matches the Rfam family "Bacterial small subunit ribosomal RNA", at positions 30 to 518 of the family's 1533-position model. The record is from RNAcentral.
CGAACGCUGGCGGCGUGCUUAACACAUGCAAGUCGAACGCGAAAGGGACUUCGGUCCUGAGUAAAGUGGCGCACGGGUGAGUAACGCGUAGAUAACCUGUCUUCAUGUCUGGAAUAAUACGCCGAAAGGGGUACUAAUACCGGAUAUCUUGCUUUUCAUAAGUUAUGCAAGCAAAGGUGGCCUCUGCAUAUGCUACUGCAUGAAGAGGGGUCUGCGUACCAUUAGCUAGUAGGUGGGGUAAUGGCCUACCUAGGCGACGAUGGUUAGCGGGUCUGAGAGGAUGAUCCGCCACACUGGCACUGGAACACGGGCCAGACUCCUACGGGAGGCAGCAGUGAGGAAUAUUGCGCAAUGGGGGAAACCCUGACGCAGCGACGCCGCGUGAAGUGAGGAAGGCCUUCGGGUCGUAAAGCUCUGUCAAGAGGAAAGAAGUGUACAAUGGCUAAUACCUGUUGUAUUUGACGGUACCUCUAAAGGAAGCACCGGCUAACUCCGUGCCAGCCGCUGC